Molecule: ribosomal RNA, 253 nt
Filed under: uncultured bacterium
Lineage: Bacteria
Description: partial 16S ribosomal RNA
Rfam family: Bacterial small subunit ribosomal RNA
Source: RNAcentral
UACAGAGGUCCCAAGCGUUGUUCGGAUUCACUGGGCGUAAAGGGUGCGUAGGUGGUGAGGUAAGUCGGAUGUGAAAGCUCGGAGCUCAACUCCGAAAUGGCAUUGGAAACUACCUUGCUCGAGGGUUGGAGGGGGGACUGGAAUUCUCGGUGUAGCAGUGAAAUGCGUAGAUAUCGAGAGGAACACCAGUGGCGAAGGCGAGUCCCUGGACACUUCCUGACACUGAGGCACGAAAGCUAGGGGAGCAAACAGG